Molecule: ribosomal RNA, 873 nt
Filed under: Tropicoporus linteus
Lineage: Eukaryota; Fungi; Basidiomycota; Agaricomycetes; Hymenochaetales; Hymenochaetaceae
Description: partial large subunit ribosomal RNA
Rfam family: Eukaryotic large subunit ribosomal RNA
Source: RNAcentral
AAAGCUCAAAUUUAAAAUCNGNCNGUUCUNCCGUNCGAGUUGUAGUCUGGAGAAGUGUUAUNUGCGUCGGACCGUGUACAAGUCUCCUGGAAUGGAGCGUCAUAGAGGGUGAGAAUCCCGUCCAUGACACGGACGCCCGAUGCUUUGUGAGGCACUCUCAAAGAGUCGAGUUGUUUGGGAAUGCAGCUCAAAAUGGGUGGUAAAUUCCAUCUAAAGCUAAAUAUUGGCGAGAGACCGAUAGCGAACAAGUACCGUGAGGGAAAGAUGAAAAGCACUUUGGAAAGAGAGUUAAACAGUACGUGAAAUUGUUGAAAGGGAAACGCUUGAAGUCAGUCGCGUCCCGUGGAACUCAGCCUAGCCUCGGCUUGGUGUACUUUCCAUGAGACGGGUCAACAUCAAUUUCGGCCGGUGGAAAANGGCAAAGGGAAUGUAGCGUCGUUUCGGCGGCGUGUUAUAGCCCCUUGUCGCAUACGCUGGNUGGGAUUGAGGACUGCAGCACGCCCUUGUGGCCGGGGUUCGCCCACGUAACGUGCUUAGGAUGUUGGCAUAAUGGCUUUAAGCGACCCGUCUUGAAACACGGACCAAGGAGUCUAACAUGCUUGCGAGUGUUCGGGUGGAAAACCCUUGCGCGUAAUGAAAGUGAAAGUUGGGAACCUCCGCAAGGGGGUGCACCGACGCCCGGCCCUGACGUUCUCUGACGGUGCUGCGGUAGAGCAAGUAUGUUGGGACCCGAAAGAUGGUGAACUAUGCCUGAAUAGGGCGAANCCNGAGGAAACUCUGGUGGANGCUCGUANCGAUUCUGACGUGCAAAUCGAUCGUCAAAUUUGGGUAUAGGGGCGAAAGANUAAUCGAACCAUCUAGUANCUGGUUCCU